GGCUUAUCCAGGUGGAGGGGUUGUGCACCCUGGCAUUUGCUCCAACAGGGAAAUGCGAUGAGCAGCUAUAUCCCGCUGGGCUAAAUCAGAAGGGGCUCACACUCAUCUUUCCAUUUGGAGAAUGCUGGCCACAGCAGCUCUGGACCCUUCAUCUUUUUAGGGGUGAGCCAGCAUGAGAAGAUAUUUGAAGAACUUGAGAGAAAGCUGAAACAAGUCCUAGAAGCUGCUGGAAUAGGAACAGAGCCCAACGUACUCACUUUACAGAGGGAAAUAGGGCUACCUGGGAGCAGGCUGCUGAGCCCACUGGUUUGCCUAGGGCUGUACUGUUUUGGGGCUGAAGAGCUCUGCAUCCAGAAAACCUUUGGACCUGGGCAAAAUGACACAGUUACCCCCCGGGACCAAAAUAAAGGGUAGAAAGACCCUGGUGACACUGCAGACUGAGUU
Molecule: long non-coding RNA, 444 nt
Filed under: Chinchilla lanigera (long-tailed chinchilla)
Lineage: Eukaryota; Metazoa; Chordata; Mammalia; Rodentia; Chinchillidae
Description: lncRNA (ENSCLAG00000028520.1)
Source: RNAcentral